GAUGAAGAACGUAGCGAAAUGCGAUACGUAAUGUGAAUUGCAAAUUCAGUGAAUCAUCGAGUCUUUGAACGCACAUUGCGCCCCCUGGUAUUCCGGGGGGCAUGCCUGUCCGAGCGUCAUUGCUGCCCUCAAGCACGGCUUGUGUGUUGGGCCCCGUCCUCCGAUUCCGGGGGACGGGCCCGAAAGGCGGCGGCGGCACCGCGUCCGGUCCUCGAGCGUAUGGGGCUUUGUCACCCGCUCUGUAGGCCCGGCCGGCGCUUGCCGAUCAACCCAAAUUUUUAUCCAGGUUGACCUCGGAUCAGGUAGGGAUACCCGCUGAACUUAAGCAUAUCAAUAAGCGGAGGA
This 345-nucleotide unclassified non-coding RNA is filed under the name soil metagenome. RNAcentral describes it as "partial contains 5.8S ribosomal RNA, internal transcribed spacer 2, and large subunit ribosomal RNA". The stretch from base 1 to 119 matches the Rfam family "5.8S ribosomal RNA", at positions 35 to 154 of the family's 154-position model. The record is from RNAcentral.